Molecule: long non-coding RNA, 755 nt
Filed under: Marmota monax (woodchuck)
Lineage: Eukaryota; Metazoa; Chordata; Mammalia; Rodentia; Sciuridae
Source: RNAcentral
GGGAAAGCCACCUCCGUGGGGCACAGGUCAGCAGACAAGCUGGGUUGGUCAACUCUUCCCUUGUGGUGGCCUCUCGUGGCCCAGGGAUCAAGAUGAGCCUCAGGAACAGGGCUGCCUGCUCAGGCAGCUCACAGGAGGAGCCUCCCCCAGCCCAGAAGGCACACCAGGAUGCACAGAGGGCCCCAAGAGCACAGAAAAUGUCCCUCAGGCCUGGAGACAAUCUGAAGGCUCAUGACCCUAUAAGAGCUCCAGCCUCCACCCAUAGAAACCAGCUGCCCCCGCUCUUCCUUAAAUACUGCAACCAUAACUCCCCCACCUCUUUCUUUCCCUUUUGUCCCUGCAAAGAUAAAGGAAAUGAUAAAUUCCUUGGAGUACAUUUAUAAAGUAGCACAUUUCUAAUAUAUUUAUUCAGGUUCUAACCUUCUGCUGUACAUGAGUAGACAGAAAUGCAUCUGUUACAAAAAUGAGGAAAUGCUAAUGGAGCAUGCUUUUAAAAUCCUUGAAAAACACCAUUUAUCCCUGGAUUUGGGCUUGCCAGUGUUCUUUUUUUUGUUCAUGUAUGUUCUCAAAAUCUCAUGUGUGCUGUGCUAAUUCAAGAAGAACAGUUUCUUCCUGGAUUCCUGAUUUGAUUGACUUAAUUAUACAUGACCUAACUAUACUCGAAUAUUACGAAUAUAAAUGGGUAAAAGUAAAUUACUCUUCUGAAAAUGUGUCCUGUGCUUUUGACUUUUUAAGUUCCAUAAAUACAACAGUCU